This 499-nucleotide ribosomal RNA is filed under the name uncultured bacterium. Its description in RNAcentral is "partial 16S ribosomal RNA". It matches the Rfam family "Bacterial small subunit ribosomal RNA", at positions 28 to 507 of the family's 1533-position model. The record is from RNAcentral.
GACGAACGCUGGCGGCGUGCCUAAUACAUGCAAGUCGAGCGAAGUUUUUCUGGUGCUUGCACUAGAAAAACUUAGCGGCGAACGGGUGAGUAACACGUAAAGAACCUGCCUCAUAGACUGGGACAACUAUUGGAAACGAUAGCUAAUACCGGAUAACAGUAUUUCUCGCAUGAGAGAUAUUUAAAAGUUGGUUAUGCUAACACUAUGAGAUGGCUUUGCGGUGCAUUAGCUAGUUGGUGGGGUAAAGGCCCACCAAGGCGACGAUGCAUACCCGACCUGAGAGGGUGAUCGGCCACACUGGGACUGAGACACGGCCCAGACUCCUACGGGAGGCAGCAGUAGGGAAUCUUCCGCAAUGGGCGAAAGCCUGACGGAGCAACGCCGCGUGAGUGAAGAAGGAUUUCGGUUCGUAAAGCUCUGUUGUUAGGGAAGAAUGGAUAUGUAGUAACUAUACAUGUAAGAGACGGUACCUAACCAGAAAGCCACGGCUAACUACGUG